RNAcentral lists this ribosomal RNA (1469 nucleotides) under Salmonella enterica. Its description in RNAcentral is "partial 23S ribosomal RNA". It matches the Rfam family "Bacterial large subunit ribosomal RNA", at positions 566 to 1935 of the family's 2925-position model. The record is from RNAcentral. Lineage: Bacteria; Pseudomonadati; Pseudomonadota; Gammaproteobacteria; Enterobacterales; Enterobacteriaceae.
ACAAGCAGAGGGGGCUUAGUGGUGGGGUGACUGCGUACCUUUUGUAUAAUGGGUCAGCGACUUAUAUUCUGUAGCAAGGUUAACCGAAUAGGGGAGCCGGAGGGAAACCGAGUCUUAAUUGGGCGUUAAGUUGCAGGGUAUAGACCCGAAACCCGGUGAUCUAGCCAUGGGCAGGUUGAAGGUUGGGUAACACUAACUGGAGGACCGAACCGACUAAUGUUGAAAAAUUAGCGGAUGACCUGUGGCUGGGGGUGAAAGGCCAAUCAAACCGGGAGAUAGCUGGUUCUCCCCGAAAGCUAUUUAGGUAGCGCCUCGUGAAUUCAUCUCCGGGGGUAGAGCACUGUUUCGGCUAGGGGGCCAUCCCGGCUUACCAACCCGAUGCAAACUGCGAAUACCGGAGAAUGUUAUCACGGGAGACACACGGCGGGUGCUAACGUCCGUCGUGAAGAGGGAAACAACCCAGACCGCCAGCUAAGGUCCCAAAGUCAUGGUUAAGUGGGAAACGAUGUGGGAAGGCCCAGACAGCCAGGAUGUUGGCUUAGAAGCAGCCAUCAUUUAAAGAAAGCGUAAUAGCUCACUGGUCGAGUCGGCCUGCGCGGAAGAUGUAACGGGGCUAAACCAUGCACCGAAGCUGCGGCAGCGAACGUAUCACCCAAGACAACUUUACGGAGUUGACGAUUGACGGAGCGAAGCGACGUCAAAGCGUUCAUUAAAGUCGAGUUGGCUUAGGGAUACGUUCGUUGGGUAGGGGAGCGUUCUGUAAGCCUGUGAAGGUGUGUCGUGAGGCAUGCUGGAGGUAUCAGAAGUGCGAAUGCUGACAUAAGUAACGAUAAAGCGGGUGAAAAGCCCGCUCGCCGGAAGACCAAGGGUUCCUGUCCAACGUUAAUCGGGGCAGGGUGAGUCGACCCCUAAGGCGAGGCCGAAAGGCGUAGUCGAUGGGAAACGGGUUAAUAUUCCCGUACUUGGUGUUACUGCGAAGGGGGGACGGAGAAGGCUAUGUUGGCCGGGCGACGGUUGUCCCGGUUUAAGCGUGUAGGUGUGUGUUCCAGGUAAAUCCGGUUCACUUUAACACUGAGGCGUGACGACGAGGCACUACGGUGCUGAAGCAACAAAUGCCCUGCUUCCAGGAAAAGCCUCUAAGCAUCAGGUAACACGAAAUCGUACCCCAAACCGACACAGGUGGUCAGGUAGAGAAUACCAAGGCGCUUGAGAGAACUCGGGUGAAGGAACUAGGCAAAAUGGUGCCGUAACUUCGGGAGAAGGCACGCUGACACGUAGGUGAAGUGAUUUACUCAUGGAGCUGAAGUCAGUCGAAGAUACCAGCUGGCUGCAACUGUUUAUUAAAAACACAGCACUGUGCAAACACGAAAGUGGACGUAUACGGUGUGACGCCUGCCCGGUGCCGGAAGGUUAAUUGAUGGGGUCAGCGUAAGCGAAGCUCCUGAUCGAAGCCCCGGUAAACGGCGGCC